This 411-nucleotide ribosomal RNA is filed under the name uncultured bacterium. RNAcentral's name for it is "bacterial SSU rRNA". It matches the Rfam family "Bacterial small subunit ribosomal RNA", at positions 356 to 774 of the family's 1533-position model. The record is from RNAcentral.
AGGGAAUAUUGCGCAAUGGACGGAAGUCUGACGCAGCGACGCCGCGUGAGCGAUGAAGGUCUUCGGAUCGUAAAGCUCUGUCCUUGGGGAAGAAGGUCUUCGGACUUGACGGUACCCAAGAAGAAAGCCCCGGCUAACUACGUGCCAGCAGCCGCGGUAAGACGUAGGAGGCGAGCGUUAUCCGGAUUUACUGGGCGUAAAGGGCAAGUAGGCGGCGGUUCAAGUUGGACGUGACAUCUCCCGGCUCAACUGGGAGGGGUCGUUCAAAACUGGGUCGCUGGAGGGCAGGAGAGGGAAGCGGAAUUCCUGGUGUAGCGGUGAAAUGCUCAGAUACCAGGAGGAACACCAGUGGCGAAGGCGGCUUCCUGGCCUGUACCUGACGCUGAGAGGCGAAAGCCAGGGGAGCGAACG